This 72-nucleotide transfer RNA is filed under the name Cotesia glomerata. Its description in RNAcentral is "tRNA-His". It matches the Rfam family "tRNA". From Rfam's summary of the family: Transfer RNA (tRNA) molecules are approximately 80 nucleotides in length. Their secondary structure includes four short double-helical elements and three loops (D, anti-codon, and T loops). Further hydrogen bonds mediate the characteristic L-shaped molecular structure. tRNAs have two regions of fundamental functional importance: the anti-codon, which is responsible for specific mRNA codon recognition, and the 3' end, to which the tRNAs corresponding amino acid is attached (by aminoacyl-tRNA synthetases). tRNAs cope with the degeneracy of the genetic code in two manners: having more than one tRNA (with a specific anti-codon) for a particular amino acid; and 'wobble' base-pairing, i.e. permitting non-standard base-pairing at the 3rd anti-codon position. Lineage: Eukaryota; Metazoa; Arthropoda; Insecta; Hymenoptera; Braconidae. The record is from RNAcentral. RNAcentral also lists the same sequence under 4 other names.
GCCGUGAUCGUCUAAUGGUUAGGACUUUACGUUGUGGCCGUAACAAUCCAGGUUCGAUUCCUGGUCACGGCA